Molecule: long non-coding RNA, 316 nt
Organism: Drosophila navojoa
Lineage: Eukaryota; Metazoa; Arthropoda; Insecta; Diptera; Drosophilidae
Source: RefSeq, a predicted model, not a curated record
GAACUACUUUAGCAAUAAAUUUUACUUAUAGAGGAAAAAAUUAAAAAUGUUAAAUGAAGCAGACAAUUUGGCAGACAUCUUUCGUGGUGGACUGCCUUAUUGCCUUAUUAUAACGUUACCCAUAUUAAUAAUGUGCUCACCAUGUCUUGCUAGUGAAUUUCAAGUAGCGUCAAUGGCAAAAUUUGAUGUUAAUGGAGAACAAUUUGGCUCGCGGUCAUCUGCAAUAUCAUUAGAAGCUAAGUCCUUAUAUACUUGGAGCACAGGCCGGCAUUGUGUUCUAGCUAGGAUGAUGGUCAAUCUAAAAUCUCCAUUUGAU